GAUAAGGUUAAGUGAAUAAGGGCGCACGGUGGAUGCCUUGGCACUAGGAGCCGAUGAAGGACGGGACUAACACCGAUAUGCUUUGGGGAGCUGUACGUAAGCUAUGAUCCAGAGAUUUCCGAAUGGGGGAACCCAACAUCUUUAAUAGGAUGUUACGAUUGUGUGAAUACAUAGCACAUUCGAGG
RNAcentral lists this ribosomal RNA (185 nucleotides) under Enterococcus faecium. Its description in RNAcentral is "partial 23S ribosomal RNA". It matches the Rfam family "Bacterial large subunit ribosomal RNA", at positions 1 to 180 of the family's 2925-position model. Lineage: Bacteria; Bacillati; Bacillota; Bacilli; Lactobacillales; Enterococcaceae. The record is from RNAcentral.